AUUUACUUUAAAAAUAAAAAAAAAAAAAAAGGAAGAAGAAGAAAUGAAAGUUUCUCGGUCUUUCAUAAGGUUAAACGCACACGUAUUUUUAACUAACUAACUUUUACUAUCGAUUUACAUCCUUGGACAACGAUACAACAGGCCUAUUGUUUGAACAUUUCUUACAUAUCAAUUGCAAUCGAACUAUUUUGAAACGGAAAACCAUUCACACGACUUUUUCCUACAAAUCUAUAUUGUCUCCUUUUUUUAAAGUUAAAAUAUUUUAUCUUUUUAUUUUUCAACAUUUCUCACGCAUCUCUUUUAAAUAAAUUUAGAAAGAUUUAUAAUCUAUAUAGUCUAGUUUAUGUUUUCCUAACGAGGAUAUCGCAAAAAAUAAAUUACGAAAACUUGUUUUCACGUGUAUAUUUCCAUACAUUAGAUAAGAUAUUCUAACUAAAAGGGGACAUCACAGUCAACUCGUGGUAUAAAUAGAAUAGAGUUACAUCAUUUCUUGUUAUAUUCAUUAUUUACUUACUAUACAACAAUUAUUAUCGACCGGUAACUUUAAAUAUUCCCUAAACAAUCGAAGAAAGUUUAUUAUACAUCAAUAUUGACUAUUCACACAUUUUUUUCAGAGAAACAUUUACUUACGUUAUAAGCGAAUGUGGUUAUUUCCAGUACCGCUUUCUUUCCGCGGUUCCGAGCAUCAGAAAUCAUAGGUUAGGGUUCCACUAUAGAGAAUUGGAAAGCAGAAGAGUCAUAUAAAUGCAGAAUAGUCAAUAAACGUCUCAUUCCUCGAGAAGGCUGCGUCGAUCGAACGAUUCGAUUCUUUCGAAACGCGGAUAGCUAGAUGUGUAAUUAUCGAUUGUAAUUUACACGGAUUUCCAGAGGAAAUCGAAACUCGAAACACAUGAAAGUAUUAUAGAUCGAGCGUCGAAUACGUGUAUUCAAUGGUGUCUCGUUUGCAUAUCUUUUAUUUUGCCACCAUAUUUUAUUUCUUUCGAUAUUAUUAAUUCGUUUUGUUGAAAAAUACAUCAUAUACGAUUUUGUCAUAUAAACAAAAAGUAGUUGAUUUGAAAUGUCGUUUUUAUCUUAUCAUUUAUUUUCCUUUUCUUUUUUUUUUUUUUUUUUUUUUUCUUUUCCACCGAGAUGGAGAUAAAGUAUUCAUUUGAAUUUGCCGCCAUUUUAAAUGUAUCCCACUUUACCUUACAUUGCAUACACAUACCAAAUAUAAUACGAGAAACAUUCUUUCGAUUAUUGAUAUACAAUUAUAUUAUCUUUAAAACGUUUUUAUAAAACUGUACAAUUAACGACAACUAAAAUGGCGGGAUAUUCAAAAUCGAUCAUUCGUAUAUCGUCCAUCCUAUAUCAAUUUAAUUUUGUCUCUACUUAUUAAUUUAAUUUGUUCCAUUAACGUAGCGAUCUAGCGAUUCAACGUCAUCGAUUCUUUGCUGCGAAAAUUUGAAUUGAUCAUUAAAGGCAAGCCUUCGAAAUGAUCUCGCAACAGCCGCGGCCGUUAUAUUGUUUUUUCGAGGAUUCUAUCCGUAACCUUGUGCUCGUUGCGAACUCGUCGAGCGAUUCAGCAGCGAGAAAGUACUAUUAUUAUGAACGAGGUAAAAAUCUCGACGACACGAUCGUCCACGAUGUUGAUCGAGUCAAUCUGAAACAUAAUACAGUACCUGCCUAUACACUUGUCUUUUCUGAGAGAUACUGUCGUUCAAGAUUCUACGAGUUCUUUUGUACCUCGCGUAACGAAACGAAACACGAAACAAUAUAAUAUUUCACGUUGAAGAUAGAUCGAUCCCUCCCGCCAUUGCCAAAUCUCUUUUUUCCUGUUCGCUCUCUUUUUCUACUUGUUCACUUACGAAUAAUAUCGCGAUACACAAUCCUUUUACCUGAUCGCGUGGAAACGUGUUAUUCGCCUAACGAAAAAACUACAUUCCAUAUCGAGACAGAUGAUUAAAUGCUUUUUCUAUUUUCUUUUUUAUUUUUUAUUUUUUUUUUAUAAACGUGGAAGAAAUGCUGCAUUUUACGUAAUCACGCGGUAAUUUAAAAAUAAAAGGUAUGAAUAAAAAGUACAGAUUAUAGUUGUUUACCAGUACUUACGUACUCAUUUCGGGAAGUUAAAUGAAAAGAAAUAAUAAUGGAAAUUGUUGCGGUUGAUUUGAAACAAUUUAAAGGAAUAAGAGAAAUGCUUUCAAAUGAUAGGCUGGAUGUUGAAUUAAUCAUUUCUCGAAUCUAUAAUUUCCCUCGGUUCUAUAAUAUUAAAACUUUUAAUACCAAAGUUGCGCAACACGAAAUGGAAACACGAUUUCUCGCGAACGGUGACGCGAAUAACUUGUCGACGCGAAUUACAUAAUUUUCACUACACCAACACUGGAUCGUUUCCACUCAGCAACACCUGAUCAACGCUGCACACUGAUUUUCAUUUACGAUUAAUCCAUUCCUUGUCCAAGCUUGCGUAUAUUAUAUUAUAUGUGUGUGCGUGGAGAGGGGCGAAUCGUAGAAAUCGAAGAAAAUUGAAGAAAUAACAAAAAAAAAAUAUAUAUAUAUAUAUAUAAGAAAGAAAAAAAAAUAAAAAAAAAAAACAAAAAAAUAGAAGAAAAAGAGUAAGAUAUGUGUGCAUAGUAUUUUUCUGGGCCACGAAUUUUUCAUUAAUGUCGUCGGACCCUUGUAUGACAAAAA
Molecule: long non-coding RNA, 2664 nt
Organism: Apis florea (little honeybee)
Lineage: Eukaryota; Metazoa; Arthropoda; Insecta; Hymenoptera; Apidae
Source: RefSeq, a predicted model, not a curated record